AACGAACGCUGGCGGCAGGCCUAACACAUGCAAGUCGAGCGAGGACUUCGGUCCUAGCGGCGGACGGGUGAGUAACGCGUGGGAACGUGCCCUUUGCUUCGGAAUAGCCCUGGGAAACUGGGAGUAAUACCGGAUGAGCCCUUUGGGGGAAAGAUUUAUCGGCGAAGGAUCGGCCCGCGUUGGAUUAGGUAGUUGGUGGGGUAAUGGCCUACCAAGCCGACGAUCCAUAGCUGGUUUGAGAAGAUGAUCAGCCACACUGGGACUGAGACACGGCCCAGACUCCUACGGGAGGCAGCAGUGGGGAAUCUUAGACAAUGGGGGAAACCCUGAUCUAGCCAUGCCGCGUGAGCGAUGAAGGCCUUAGGGUUGUAAAGCUCUUUCAGCUGGGAAGAUAAUGACGGUACCAGCAGAAGAAGCCCCGGCUAACUCCGUG
This 433-nucleotide ribosomal RNA is filed under the name uncultured bacterium. RNAcentral describes it as "partial 16S ribosomal RNA". It matches the Rfam family "Bacterial small subunit ribosomal RNA", at positions 29 to 507 of the family's 1533-position model. The record is from RNAcentral.